RNAcentral lists this long non-coding RNA (1137 nucleotides) under Chinchilla lanigera (long-tailed chinchilla). Its description in RNAcentral is "lncRNA (ENSCLAG00000022579.1)". Lineage: Eukaryota; Metazoa; Chordata; Mammalia; Rodentia; Chinchillidae. The record is from RNAcentral.
CUGGAAUUCUCCAGGUGGAGAGUCAGCCCCCCACCCACUUCAAGAGAACCCAACCUGUGGUCCCCAUUUGGGUGUCCUAGAAGGGCUUUAGUCCUGAGGAACACUUUAGAGCAGAGGCCAGCUCUCCACAGACAGCGAUGGCACUUCUGCUGUCUCUGGAAAAGAGGACCCACCUGGCGUUUGCUUUAAGGGUUGACAUUGUCAGUCCCAGACUCCCAAUGGCGCAGACUGAGAACACUCAUCAACUGGACAGGAAGAUGUUACAGUUCAGCAUGAUGGAAGUGGAUGGAAUCCUUAUGCCUCAAGCAUUUGAAGGAGUGUGGGAAAGAAUCUGUAAUUUCCAAGCCAGGCCAGAUGACACCUUUCUGGUAUCUUACCCAAAGUCAGGUAACUGUAUCAAAGCAUACAAAAAAUUCCACAUUUGCACAUGAAACCAUUGCAUAAUAUAUAUUGACCAGUAAAUCAUGGUUGGGGAUUGGGGACUGGAGAGGAAUAGACCCUGACAUGCAGAUCAGUCCUAGCAUUGCUGGACAUGCAGCAUCGGUGGUCCUUGGACACUGACUUCCAACAGCACUCUCUGCUGGUGACCAAACACUGCCAAGGGCCCUGGAAAGGAACACUCAUUCCAGACACAAUAAUUUACAAAAAAUGUUGGGUGGAUAAAUUGCAAAAUAUAUCAUUGGUUUUUUUAACAUAAGGCCUCACUUGAGGAAGCCUUCCAUAAGAGUAAAAAGUGGGUUGUCCAGUUGCCCAAAGCUAUUGAAAGACAACAAGUAAGGCUUUCUGUUUUGUCUCAGUUCAGUUCCCUUCAGAGAAGCCCCAAGGUCAUUACAAAUUCACUAAAUUAACUUCAAACUUCCUAGAAUCAAAUAUCUCCUGGUAGGUACAGCACCUCUAAGGUCCAGAACUCAGUUAUCAAACACAGUUCCUCACAAAGAAAAACCAGGGCAUUGGUGAGUGGGCAUCCAAGUCCUGGGGUGAGGAUGCAGCGGGUGAGCCUAGGCCAUCUUGUUGUCUGGAAAGUAAGUCAAUGCUCAGACCUAGUGGGGACAUGUCAGAGGACACAGGAGCCAGCAUUAAGAAGCAUGUGGUGGCCAAGGUGGAACAGGCUGUGGAUGGGGAAGAGGGCAGUGAGUG